UUCAACACUAGCCUGGCCAACAUGGUGAAACCCCGUCUCUACUAAAAAUACAAAAAUUAGCCAGGUGUGCUGAUGGGUGCAUGUAAUACCAGCUACUGGGGAGGCUGAGGCAGGAGAAUCGCUUGAAACUGGGAGGUAGAGGUUGCAGUGAGUCGAGAUCGUGCCACUGCACUCCAGCCUGGGUGACAAGUGUGAAAUUCCAUCUCAAAAAAAAAAAAAAACAGGGCCACCAGUGGGAGACAAUGACAAGUAACCCCAUGAGAAUGGGGGUGAUUGUGGCAGAGGUUCUGCCAUGAUGUGCUUAUUGGGUACAACUCUCAGUCCCAUUAUUAACGUGGGCAUCACAGCACCAGCCAGGGCGAGGGGCCAAGUGACCAGCCAGUCCUCCCGACCCAGGAAGGGAUCGACUAAUCCCUUUAGCAUCCUUGCCUUUUUUUUUUUUUGUCUCACUAUGGAGGUUUUCAUGUAGACUUGUGAUGUGAUUAGUGCAGGAGGAAAGGGUGAAGCAAGAUCCCCUUAACUUCCAGAAUUUUCUCCCACGAUUCCUAGAACUAUCAAGAAAAUAAGCAAAAAUCGUGUUGAAUCUGAAGCCUGACCAAGCAUCUAUGCUGACCACAACUGUGUUUAUGCCAGCUUUAUGACAGUGAUAGGAACUGCAUGUGAAUGAUGUUUAAGACUCUUGAACAAUAGCACGUAGAGACUUUUUCCUAGGGUGAAAAACAGAAAGGUCCCCUGUGCUCACAUUCUGUAACUCCUAUUAUUAAUAAAAUGGUGUGUUUCACAUUUAAUAAACAGUUGCUGGGUUGGAUGGAUUUCCUUUUUGUAUCCAGUGGACUGAAGGUCAAAAGGUAUAUUUUUGUGUUUUUUUCUGCUCUAAUUUACACCGCUAUUUACAGACCUGCCAUUUCCAAGCUUAGAAUGCUUCCCAUAAUGCAGGAAAGAGGCCAGAUGAAGUGGCUAGAGGUCUCCUGCCUCCUGGACAUUCAGAAGAGGCAAACUGCCCCUAACAGAAAGACUUGAGUCCCUGAAACAGUGGCCUUUAACCAGCCCAUGCCACUGUCUCCCCUUUUGUCCAUACAAGGUCACUUGCUGGACAGCCUGGCUUAGGGUUGUCAGAUCAGACACGGGACACCCAGUUAAUCUGAAUUUCAGGUACAAGAUAGUUUAUUUAGUAUAAAAAUGUCCCUGAUAUUGCACAGGCAGAUGUUCGUGCUUAUCUGAAAUUCGAGUUUAACUGGGCACCCUGCAUUUUUAUUUGCUAAGAUGACAACCACUGCCCUGGUCGGGGGUAGGGGUGAGGCAUUCCCAGCAGCAGGAGCCGCUUACACCACACAUUUGCUGCCUCCCAGGCUUGCCCAUGUCUGGUCUCCUGCUCUUCUCUAGCAAGUGGGACUUACUGACACAUAACAAGAGGGGGUUGUCACUGGUAUGAGCAGCCCCCUCUCCUUGCCUACUUUUUUAGUGUCUCAAUGAGACUCCCAUGUCCAUGUUAGGACAUUCUCUCCUUCCGCUGCCUUAUAGUAGAAACCAUCCAGCCAUCAUCACCUAUCCACUCAUCCACUCACCUGUCUACCCAUCUACCCACCCAUCCAUCCAUCACUCACCAAUCCAUCCACUCACCCAUCCAUCCACCAAUCCAUCCACUCACCCAUCCAUCCACCCAUCCAUCCACCCACCCAUCCAUCAACUCACCUGUCCAUCCACUCAUCCAUCCAUCUAUCCAUAAGCAUUCACAGAACACCUUUUAAGUACCAGACACCAUUCAGCAAAUCCAUAAUCUCCCUGAGAACAUGUCAUAUGAAAGAUUCACGUUCUGACUUGGAGCCAAUUUAUUGGGAGCCCUCCAGACCACAGAAAGCGGCUAUCAUGAUGAACAGAGUAGCUCUGACCCAGUAUCCCCGGACAAGCCCAACAUUAGCCAAAAUACCUCAGAUGCCACCAGUUGCCCUGCGACCGAGCUGACUUAUGAGAUGUGGUACAGGGAAGCUGAAGCUAGACAGCACUGUCCUCAUGUAUCAGUUAGGGAAGGCUAAUUGUGGGAACAAAUAGACCUCGACAACAUGUAUAAUCACAGUGGAUGUCUUUUUCUUGUUCAGAUCACAAUCCUGGCAGGGGAAGAGAUUGGUGGGGCAGUUCUCCUCAGCACAUCCACCCAGGGACUCAGACUGUGGAGGUUCUGCUGUCUUCAUCAGGUCACUUCCAAUGUCACUCCAGGGUCAUCACCAGAAGAGGAUGAGAGCUUGGUGGCAUGCAUGGCAGACUUUGAAGGACAGACCUGGAAGUGGCACGCAUCCCUUCAUCACUGGCUGUGCUACAUUGGCUGGCCAUGUGGUCACUACUAGUUGCGAGGAAGAUUAGACAACGCAGGCCCAGGAAGAAGGAACAUUAUCUCCGUCAUCAUUAUGAUUGUUUCUACUCUACAGAUAAGGAAACCGGCUCAGAGAAGCUUCCCUUGGUGUCUCCUUGGACUGCAGCAGUGUUUCUUACAGCCAUGUGGUGUCUCAGGGCAUUCUCUGGAAGAUGAGGCUACACGGAAGUCAAGAGGCAUCUUUGCUGGGCUAACUGUUGAGCUGUGGAGGGCCUGCAAGGCCCCAGAGGAGGCCGUUCCUUGGACUCUGUGCAGGGAAACUUCUCUCGACUAGGAAUACACCUGUCUUCUCCACCCAAAGCCCAAAGUGGGUGGCCUGGGCUUGCAAAGAGACGAGCAGGCUCAGGGCAGCAUGGCUCCCUGCAGCUCUAUGGCCCCGAAUGGGGUAAGGGACUCCCUGGAGGCCUCAGUAAUUUGAGCACUGGGAAAACACGGUCCUCUACUUCUAGUUUUCCUGUCCAGAGCACCCCAGGGCUGUGUGCCUGGCCUUGUGGGGACCGUGACCCUGACCCUGGCUCUCCCUAAGGUGACCACUCACCCUAGAAACACCCUAGAAACUCACCCUGGGAGAUUUGCUAGACAGCAACAGUUUAGCUAAUCUUCACAUCUUUGAAGGUACAAAAGUCCCAUGUGGGGCCUCGGGUCAGAGAACUGCCACAAACAGCCAGUGAAUUCAUUAAUCCUUCCCCAGCUUCUCGGUUUGGCUGCAUUCAUUCAUGUAUCCAUUCAACACAUAGCACUGAGCAACUACUGUGUUUGAAUUUUGGGGGAAUCUUUGGGUAGCUUCAGCUACUAGGACAAAGAACACCGUCCACUGAGAUAUGUAUGCCUGGAGGAUGAAUCCUGUGCGUCUACACAACAUUUCUGAAUGUUCUGAAAAGGAAAAAUAAUAAUAAACAAAUGUGUGAGGUAGUGAUUAAGAUAUUCACAAUAUUUCCCUUUAAAACAGGAAAGUCUGACAGCUAAAGAGGAGAAACGACUUUUG
Molecule: long non-coding RNA, 3353 nt
Organism: Symphalangus syndactylus (siamang)
Lineage: Eukaryota; Metazoa; Chordata; Mammalia; Primates; Hylobatidae
Source: RefSeq, a predicted model, not a curated record